Molecule: ribosomal RNA, 211 nt
Filed under: uncultured bacterium
Lineage: Bacteria
Description: partial 16S ribosomal RNA
Rfam family: Bacterial small subunit ribosomal RNA
Source: RNAcentral
UACGGAGGGGGCUAGCGUUGUCCGGAAUCACUGGGGGUAAAGGGUUCGCAGGCGGAAAUGCAAGUCAGAUGUAAAAGCCAGUAGCUUAACUACUGUAAGCAUUUGAAACUGCAUAUCUUGAGAAGAGUAGAGGUAAGUGGAAUUUUUAGUGUAGCGGUGAAAUGCAUAGAUAUUAAAAAGAACACCGAUUGCGAAGGCGGCUUACUGGGCU